RNAcentral lists this ribosomal RNA (514 nucleotides) under uncultured bacterium. Its description in RNAcentral is "bacterial SSU rRNA". It matches the Rfam family "Bacterial small subunit ribosomal RNA", at positions 126 to 674 of the family's 1533-position model. The record is from RNAcentral.
CUACCGUGCCCUGCGGAAUAGCUCCGGGAAACUGGAAUUAAUACCGCAUACGCCCUACGGGGGAAAGAUUUAUCGGGGUAUGAUGAGCCCGCGUUGGAUUAGCUAGUUGGUGGGGUAAAGGCCUACCAAGGCGACGAUCCAUAGCUGGUCUGAGAGGAUGAUCAGCCACAUUGGGACUGAGACACGGCCCAAACUCCUACGGGAGGCAGCAGUGGGGAAUAUUGGACAAUGGACGCAAGCCUGAUCCAGCCAUGCCGCGUGAGUGAUGAAGGCCUUAGGGUUGUAAAGCUCUUUCACCGGAGAAGAUAAUGACGGUAUCCGGAGAAGAAGCCCCGGCUAACUUCGUGCCAGCAGCCGCGGUAAUACGAAGGGGGCUAGCGUUGUUCGGAAUUACUGGGCGUAAAGCGCACGUAGGCGGAUAUUUAAGUCAGGGGUGAAAUCCCAGAGCUCAACUCUGGAACUGCCUUUGAUACUGGGUAUCUUGAGUAUGGAAGAGGUAAGUGGAAUUGCGAGU